RNAcentral lists this antisense RNA (187 nucleotides) under Micromonas commoda. RNAcentral's name for it is "Micromonas sp. RCC299 Antisense RNA which regulates isiA expression". It matches the Rfam family "Antisense RNA which regulates isiA expression". Lineage: Eukaryota; Viridiplantae; Chlorophyta; Mamiellophyceae; Mamiellales; Mamiellaceae. The record is from Rfam by way of RNAcentral.
GGUAUCCAAAGAUUACUGAUGGAUCAUAUGUUGGGUAGUUAAUAAUACGUACAUCUCCACCACCUGGUGCCCAUGUAUCAUAUACUCCACCAAAGUACAUAGCCUUCCAUACAAGAAGGAAUGCACCACAUCCAAGAAGUACAAGGUGAAUUCCAAGAAUUGUUGUCAUCUUGUUCUUAUCUUUCCA